RNAcentral lists this long non-coding RNA (11675 nucleotides) under Homo sapiens (human). RNAcentral describes it as "HSALNT0405726". The record is from RNAcentral. Lineage: Eukaryota; Metazoa; Chordata; Mammalia; Primates; Hominidae.
GUCUCAGCCGCUUCCUGUCAGCGCCAGGAGCGGGGAUUCCCGGGGUCCCGGGCAGGUACCUGGACAGCGCAGGUCCUCGCAAGGCCGUUUCUCAGGGACGCCGGCCUCGCCACUGACGUAGCACCAGGGCCCGCGCGGGUCCUCGUCCGGGUUUCGGCAGUAACUGUGAUUGCCGGCCCCUAAGAGAGGAGAGAAGGAAAUGUGUGCCGGGGCUGGCACCGGGAACGCGGCCGCCGCCCGCCAGCCCCGGGGCCGUCCCCCGGAGGACACUUACCCGACACGGGGGCCGAGGCCAGCCCGCUCUGCGCGUCCAGCCAGUUGAGGCAGCGGAGGCCCGGCGCGGGGGAGGUCUGGUCCUCCCGGUACAGGUGGCCGUUGUCCCAGAAACAGCCUGUGAGGAAAAGAAGCCCCCGGACACAGAAUAGCGGGCAGCGAACGGAAGACGCCCAGCGUGGCGGACAGGGGAGCCGGGACCACCCGGGCUGAACCUCAGCCUGGUUAGGGGACCCCGGGCCCUGCUGGGCCUCCCUCUCCUCUCGUGGCAACACCCCCACGCCCCACGCACCCCCCCCCCCCAACUCCACGCACACCUCAGGGUGUGAAGCCCCCAGCCUGUGCCUGUCCCCCAGUCAACGCUCAGAGACUGUUAGGUUUUAUUUAUUUUUGAAACCUGGAAAGCGCUGCAGAAGUGCAAAGCGUUGUUACUCUUGAACUUGUGACCACUUUGGAGGAGGAGAUGGAGAGGAGGAGGCCUGGCUUAGGGUCCCUUUGAGGAGCUGGGAGUUUUGGGACGGGGGGCGCCCAGACGUGACAUUUGUCCCUGUGUUGUAAUGGCCACGUUACAUAAACUCCGGUGUUUCCUCCUUCACGGAUACGGCCACCUUCUGCCCGUUUAAAAGGCAAAUACUCCCUCCCAGGAGAAUUCUCCAGGAGCCUUGACUCCGUCAGGCAAAAGAUUCAAGACAGCCUCAAACGGAGGAAACCGGCCUCAUCGCUGACUGGAUGAGACUCCAAGCUCCCACUCCCCUCUGCAGGAGAACCACAGAAGGAGGCUGGGGAAGGAGGACCACACCAUGCAAAGGGCUUAGAAAGAACAGGACUUGGGGAGUAGGGGAGAUGAACCCCCAAGCUCCAUCCACUCAUGAGCAAGGAAAGGCAGAGAGAAAGUGGCUUCUUGCCUUUGUUCUUAAUGGCAAAGAUGGAGCUGCAAGCCCCUGACAAGGAAAGGAGGGGUGGAAAAGCUUUCACGGGACAACAGAAACCGGCUAAACGCUUCGUUUCCUGUCAUCCUGGCCCUGUUUGGGAAAUAGGGGGCUUUACCCCUUCUGUUUCAUGAAGUUGCUGCGGAAAGGAAAGAUUGUAAUCUCACCUCCAGAUCCAUAGGCUUCUGCUAGGAGCAUGUUGCUGACGAGGAAUGCUUGUACCCAGGCCAACAGCAUCCUUGCCUCCUUCGUCUUGCAGGUGAUUGAACGACCAGUGUUUAACCGAGGCCCCCUUGGCGGCGGCUCUGCCUCCCAGUCCCAGCCUUGCAGUCAGACCUGCCCUUGUUAUGCUGUUCUGGUAAACAGCCUCUCUUUAGAACUGGGAGCUUCCCAGCUAGCUUGCUGCAGCGCGAGCUGUUUUUCAGCUGAAAGGCGCCCCCUGGGUCCUAAGCCUCCUAGGUCAUGCAAAAUCUAACUGAGCCAAGAAAGGAACUCAGCCAAGAGAUAUGCAGGUUGUGCUUAGCAGCCGAUCAGUUUGAGACCUGCGAGGCCGCAUCCCCAGGGUUUUUCAUCUCUUCUGUUUCCAUUUGUAGUCUCACUCCUCUGUCACCCAGGCUGGAGUGCAGUGGCAUACUCACGCCUCACUGCCGCCUCAACCUCCUGUGCUCAAGCGAUUCUCCCACCUCACCCUCCCGAGUAGCUCAGACUACAGGUGAGUGCCACCAUGCCCAGGUAAUUUUUUUGUAUUUUUUGUAGAGACAGGGUUUUGCCAUGUUGUCCAGACUGGUCUCAAACUCCAGGCUCAAGCAAUCCACUGGACUUGGCCUCCCAAAGUGCUGGGAUUAAAGGCAUGAGUGACCACACCUGGCCAUUAACCCACAUUUAAGAUCCCAAUUUCCAACUCUCCAUUCCCCAUUCCCCCAGCCCCUGGAAACCAUCAUUCUACUCUCUGACUCUAUAGUAUGAAUUUGACUACUCGAGGUAUGGCAUAUAAGUGGGAUCAUACAGUAUUUGUUUUUUGUGACUGGCUAAUUUUACUUAGCAUAAUGUCCUCAAGGUUUAUCUAUGUUGUAGCACGUGUCAGAAUAUCCUCCCUUUUUAUUUGUAUUUUUUUUAUUCGAGACAUGGUCUCACUCUGUCACCCAGGCUGGAGUGCAGUAGCACAAUCUUAGCUCAUUGCAACCUCUGCCUCAGCUAUCCUCCUGCCUCAGCCUCCCAAGGAGCUAGGACCACAGGUGUGCACCACCACGUCUGGCUUUUUUUUUUUUUUUUUUUUUGAGAUGGAGUCUCGCUCUGUCACCCAGGCUGGAGUGCAGUGGCGCGAUUUUGGCUCAUUGCAACCUCUGCCUCCCGGGUUCAAGCAAUUCUUCUGCCUCAGCCUCCCAAGUAGCUGGGAUUACAGGGGUGUGCCACCACACCCGGCUAAUUUUUUAUAUUUUUGGUAGAGACGGGGUUUCAUCAUGUUGGCCGGGCUGUUCUCAAACUCCUCACCUAGUGAUCCGCCUGCCUCAGCCCCCCAAAGUGCUGGGAUUACAGGCCUGAGCCACUGCGCCCAGCCCACGUCCGGCUAUUUUUUUGUAUUUUUAGUAGAGGUGGGGCCUCGCCAUGUUGCCCAGGCUGGUCUUGAACUCCUGAGCUCAAGCAGUCUGGUCACCUCUGCAUCCCAAAGUGCUGGGAUUACAGGCUUGAGCCACUGCACUCAGCCUUUCCGUCCUUUUUUUUUUUUUUUUUUUUUUUGAGAGGGAGUCUCACUCUGUCGCCCAGGAUGGAGUGCAGUGGUGCGAUCUCGGCUUACUGCAAGCUCCGCCUCCCGGGGAGGUUCAAGCGAUUCUCAUGCCUCAGCCUCCCGAGUAGCAGGGACUACAGGUGCCCGCCACCACGCCUGGCUAAUUUUUUUUGUAUUUUUAGUAGAGACGGGGUUUCACCGUGUUAGCCAGGAUGAUCUCCAUCUCCUGACCUUGUGAUCCACCCACCUCGGCCUCUCAAAGUGCUGGGAUUACAGGCAUGAGCCACUGUGCCUGGCCCUUUCCUUCCUUUUAAAGCUAAUAAUAUGUCAUUGUAUACCAUCUUUUGUUUAUCCAUUCACCCACUGAUGGACACUUGGGUUGUUUCUACCUUUUGGCUAUUGUGAAUAAUGUUGCUGUGAAUAUGGGUAGACAAAUACCUCUUUGAGACCCUGUUUUCAAUUCCUUUGAGUAUAUACCAGAACUAGAAUGGCUGGAUCAUAUGAUAAUUUGAAUUUUAAUUUUUUUAGAAACCACCAUACCAUUUUCCAGUAGUGGUACUAUUUUACAUUGCUACCAACAGUGCAUAAAGGUUCCAAUUUCUCCACAUCCUCACCAACUCUUAUGUUUUGAUAAUAGCCAUCCUAAUGGGUGUGUAGAAGUACAGUGAAUAUAUAUUUUAAAGAACCUUGAGUCAUAACCCAACUCAUAUUUUCUGUACAGACCUUUUAAAUAAUUAUAACAUAUUUGAUGUGCAUUCAAUAAAUUUUUAUUGAAUCCUGGCUACAUUCCAGGAUUCAAAUAUGAAAUAGGCACAGUCCCUGCCCUCAUGAAUAACAUAGAUAAGGAGCCCCUAUGAAAUAACUUAUAGCCAUUGUACCCCUAUCUAAAGGAUCAGGACCAUAAGCUCUAGCAACAUAUCUGAGAGAAGGGGACGGGAGAGAAAACAUCCACAGCUUUGGUGUGUUCUGAACUCUUUAGGAAUUUUGCAUGGGCAAAUCUGCUCAGUUUUCUCCCAUAGCAAAUAGGGUGUCCUGUGUGAAACUUGGCUACAGUGGUUAUUGACUAAGUUGUUGAGAAAGAGAUAUAUAUUAGCUUUCCCUAUGGAAAUUUAAAAACAUGCACAAAAGUAAAGAAAGUAAUAUAAUAAAUCACCAAAUACCUGUCACCCAGUUUGUGGAAUCAUCAACACAUACCCAGUCUUCUUUCAUACCCACCCCCACUCACUCCCUCUUACCACUAGAUUAUUUUGAAACAAAGUCAGUAUAUUAUUCAAGUUUUCAUUUUCUACUUGUUCUUGAUGCUGUUUCGCUUAGAUACUGGGGUGUGUGCUCUAAUUUUGACUUCUUUUAGCAGUCUUAUUGUGUACAGUAUUCUUUCUCUGAGAGAGAGUUUUGUUUUGUUUUGUUUUGUUUGUAUUGAUAGAAUCACAGUGUUUUCCAGCCUUAAACUCUCUUUUGUCUCUCCCAUUUCAGAGUCCCAUGAACCUGCCACACAUUUUCACUUUACUCAAGUCAAAGUGACUUGGACCUCCACUCACCAGCUCUCUUAGUUCAUCUCUAUAAUGUAUGAAGUUAGGGACUUUAGCAGUCUUCUUAAUUAUUCUACAUACAGUGUCUAACCUGGUGCAUAGUAGGUACUUAAUAAAUAGUUGUUGAUGCCAAGGCAGAUGGAUCACGAGGUCAGGAGUUCAAGACUAGCCUGGCCAAGAUGGUGAAACCCCAUCUCUACUAAAAAUACAAAAAUCAGGCCAGGUGCGGUGGCUCACGCCUGUAAUCCCAGCACUUUGGGAGGCCGAGGCGGGUGGAUCACAAGGUCAGGAGAUCGAGACCGUCCCGGCUAACACAGUGAAACCCCGUCUCUACUAAAAAAUACAAAAAAUUAGCUGGGCGUGGUGGUGGGCGCCUGUGGUCCCAGCUGCUUGGGAGGCUGAGGCAGGAGAAUGGCGUGAACCCGGGGGGCAGAGCUUGCAGUGAGCCGAGAUUGCGCCCCUGCACUCCAGCCUGGGUGACAGAGUGAGACUCCAUCUCAAAAAAAAAAAAAAAAAAAAUUAGCCAGGCGUGGUGGUAGGCCCCUGUAAAUCCCAGCUACUCAGGAGACUGAGGCAGAGAAUUGCUUGAACCUGGGAGGCGGAGGUUGCAGUGUGCCAAGAUCGCACCACUACACCCCAGCCUGGGUGAGAGAGCGAGACUCUGUCUCAAAAAAAAAAAAAAAAAAGUUGUUGAUGACUAAAUGGAUGAACUCCAUUUGGGUUUCCGCUCAUCUGAACCUCAGAAUCAGCAGUUGUUUUAACAAUACACUUGGUUCUCUCUAGAUAGGUAGGUAGGUAGGUAGGUAGGUAGGUAGGUUGGUUCUCUCUAGAUAGGUAGGUAGGUAGGUAGGUAGAUAGAUACAGAUACAGAUACAGAUGCAGAUAUAGAUACAGAUACAGAUGCAGAUAUAGAUAUAGAUUUUUUUUGAGACAAGGUCUUGCUCUGUCACCCAGGCUGGAGUGCAGUGGUGUGACUUCGGCUCACUGCAACCUCCACCUCCAGGGUUCAAGUGGUUUUUGUACCUCAGCCUCUGGAGUAGCUGGGUCUACAGGCGCAUACCACCAUGCUUGGCUAAUUUUUGUAUUUUUUGUAGAGACAGGGUUUCACUGUGUUGCCCAGGCGGGUCUCAAACUCCUGGCCUCAAGUGAUCUGCCCAACUUGGCCUCCCAAAGUGCUGAGAUUAAAAGUGUGAGCCACCACACCCAGCCGGUUCUCUGUAACUUAAAUGAGGAGAAAAUUACCUGGGCCUUGAGAAACAACUUUUAUCCUGGACCUCUUUUGUCUAGCUGAAAAAUCUAAAUUUUUCUGGCUCCCCCUGCUGGUCGCUCCUGGGCAGUUGCGUACAAGUGCCCUGAUAGGAUUGGAGCCAGAGCCAAGUUUGGGAAGGGAAAACAAAGCAUUGUUGGUAGAGUGCCCUGACCAGUCCAGGCAGGUUUGAGGAGGAGGAAAGCAGCUUGUUGAAAACAGUUCUGGGAAGUGCAGCUUUCUGUGUAAAGGGCAAGGAAGGUGGCCCACUGCCAGCCAAAAUCAGGAGAGCAGGGAUUGGGGCUACAGCUUCCUGGUCUGCAGCACUGUAGACCAUGAGAAUCGUGACCACACGAGCCCAUAAGUGAGCUGGUCAUUAUGUGAGGAUCAGACCCUAUCUUGAGAAUGGAGAUGGGCUCCUUUUCUAAGACAAAGCAGUCUGGGGUCAGACAUAGUCACCAUGCAGGCAUAGUACCUACAGUGUUUGUUUUAUUUUGGUAAGAAUGGUGGUGAAUGUAGAUGGGAGCAUCCCCAGAGUUCACAGUCCUGCGUUGGCUACAUGACCGUACUAUCUCCCAGUUCUUAAGACCAUUAACAACUCUGUGGAGCUCUGGGUGGAGCUUCUGCCAGGGCCUUCCUUCUCCACCCUCUGUAAAAACAAUAAAUUCCCCACACCUCUCAUACCAGUCAGAAUGGCUAUUAUUAAGAAGUCAAAAAAUAACAGAUGCUGGUGAGGUUGUAGAGAAAAAAGAACACUUUUACACUGUUGGUGGGAGUGUAAAUUAGUUCAACCAUUGUGGAAGACAGUGUGGCGAUUCCUCAAAGACCUAGAAGCAGAAAUACCAUUUGACCCAGCAAUGCCAUUACUGAGUAUAUAUCCAAAAGAAUAGAAAUCAUUCUAUUAUAAAGAUACAUGCAUACAUGUAUCUUUCAUUUCAUUGCAGCACUAUUCACAGUAGCAAAGACAUGGAACCAACCUAAAUUCCCAUCAGUGAUAGACUUGAUAAAGAAAAUGUGGUACAUAUACAUCAUGGAAUACUAUGCAGUCAUAAAAAGGAAUGAGAUCAUGUCCUUUGCAGGGACAUUGAUGGAGCUGGAAGCCAUUAUCCUCAGCAAAUUAAUGCAAGAACAGAAAAACAAACACUACAUGUUCUCACUUAUAAGUGGCAACUGAAUGAUGAGAACACAUGGACACACAGAGGGGAACAACACACACUGGGGCCUGUUGGACGGUGUGGCGGGGGAGGAAGGAGAGCAUCAGGAAGAACAGCUAAUGGAUGCUGGGCUUAAUACCUACGUGAUGGGAUAAUCUGUGCAGCAAACCACCAUGGCACACGUUUUUCUAUGUAAUCCUGCAUAUGUACCCCUGAACUUAAAAGUUGGAAAAAAAAAAAAGAAAAAAGAAUUCCUCACACCUACCUACCCUCUAGAUCACAUUUCUCAGUUGUUUAUAUUUACUUGUCCUUUCCACAAAACUUCCCAGAAAGUGGACUGUGGCCAAAUGAAUCUCUCCAGACUCCAGCCAGCUGAGGGCAUCAGGAAAAGGGUUAAUGAUGUCAAGACACCAAGGGCAGAUCCCCUCCUCUUCUCUCCAAUCCCAAGCCCCAAGCACCAGCAUAAUUCCACUUAAAGUUGAACGUAGAAAAUGGGCAUUUGUUUUACUUCAGAACAAAGGGGUAAGCACGUGACUUUCCCCAAUACACAAGGAAGGGAAAUGAAUCCAGAAGAACCCCAGGGCAUGAAUAUUACCAUUAGACUUAGGUAAGUAUAGCUGUGAAAUGGUCAUGGUAAAGAAAUGUUUGGGGUAGGCACAGCAGCUCAUGCCUGUAAUCCCAGCAUUAUGGAAGGCCAAGGCAGGAGGAUUGCUUGAGCCCAGGAGUUCAAGACCAGCCUAGGAAACAUAGUGAGACCUCAUCUCUACAAAAGUUUUUUUUUUAAUUAGUCAAGUAUGGUGGCACAUGCCUAUAGUCCCAGCUACUUGGGAGGCUGAGGUGGGAAGAUCACUUGAGCCCAGGAGAUGGUGAUGGCAGUGAGCCAUGAUCACACCAGUACACUCCAGCCUGGGCAACAGGGCAAGACCCUGUCUCCAAAAAAAAAAGUCCAAUGCCCACUCAUGAUAAAACUCUCAGUAAACUUCGUCAGCUUGAUAAAGAAUACCUACAAAACCUACAGCUAACAUACUUAAUAGUGAGAAACCAGAAGCUUUCUCACUAAGAUCAGGAACAAGGCAACGGUGUGCCCUCUCAUCACUUCUUUUCAACAUUGUACUGGAAGUCCUAGCUAAUGUAAUAAGACAAGAAAAGGAAAUAGAAGGUAUACAGAUUGGGGAGGAGGAAAUCAAGCUGUCUUUGUUCACAGAUGACAUGACCAUCUCUGUAGAAAAUCUGAAAGAUGAAUGAUGAAGCCUUGGGAGAUGUUAAAAAAGAAAAAAGAAAGGAGGACAGGACAGGAAAGGAAAAAGGAAAGGGAAGUGGGGAGGGGAAGGGGAAGGAAGGGAAAGGAAAGAUCUGAAAGAAUUGACAGAAAAACUCCUGGAACUAAUAAGUGAUUACAUCAAUGUUUCAGGUUAUAAGGUCAAUAUACAAAACUCAAUUGUCUACCUAUAUACCAGCAAUGAAUUAGUGGAAUUUGAAAUAAAAAACACAUUUAUAUUACCACCCCACAAAAUUUGUAUAAACCUAACAAAAUAUGUACAAGAUCUGUAUGAAAAAAACUACAAAACUCUGAUGAACAAAAUCAAAAAAGAAUUAAAUGGAGAUAUAUUCCAUGGUACAUGCAUAGGAAGACUCAAUAUUGUCAAGAUGUCCGUUCUUCCCAACUUGAUCUAUAGAUCAAAGCAAUCCCAAUCAAAAUCCCAGAAGUUAUUUUGUGGAUAUCAACAAAUUGAUUCUAAAAGUUUAUACAGAGAGGCAAAAUUGAAGGAGAAGAAUGAAGUUAGAAGACUGACACUACCUGACUUUGAGACUUAUAAAGCUACAGUAAUGAAGGCAGUGUGAUAUUUGUGAAAGGAUAGACAAAUAGAUCAAUUGAACAGAAUGGAGAGGCCAGAAAUAGACCCACAUAAAUAUAGUGGAAGGAAUAAAUAUAGUGGAAGGAAGCAAAGGCAGUACAAUGGAGCAAAGAUAAUUUUUUCAACAAAUGGUGCUGGAACAACUGGACAUCCACAUGCAAAAAAUUAAUCUAGACACACACCUUACACUCUGAGAGGAUAACAGAAGAAAACCUUGGAUAUGGUUAUUAUUUUUUCGGUACAACACUCAAAGGCAUGAUCCAUGAAAUAAAUAACUGACAAUCUAGACUUCAUUAAAAUUAAAAAUUUCUCUUCUGUGAAAGACCAUGUCACAAGAAUGAGAAGAUGAUGGCUGGGCACAGUGGCUCAUGCCUGUAAUCCCAGCACUUUGGGAGGCCGAGGUGGGCGGAUCACGAGGUCAGGAAAUCGAGACCAUCCUGGCUAACAUGGUGAAACCCCGUCUCUACUAAAAAAAAAAAAAUACAAAAAUUAGCCGGCCGUGGUGGCAGGCGCCUGUAGUCCCAGCUACUUGGGAGGCUGAGGCAGGAGAAUGGCGUGAACCCAGGAGGCGGAGCUGGUAGUGAGCCAAGAUCACGCCACUGCACUCCAGCCUAGGUGACAGAGCAAGACUCCGUCUCAAAAAACAAAAAAAAAGAAUGAGAAGAUGAGCAUAAGCAUGUACUGGAGAAAAUAUUUGCAAAAGACACAUCUGAUAAAGGACUGUUAUCCAAAAUAUGCAUAAGCACUCUUAAAACUCAACAAUAGGCCAGGCAUAGUGGCUCACGCCUGUAAUCCCAGCACUUUGGGAGGCCGAGGUGGGCGGAUCACGAGGUCAAGACAUAGAGACCAUCCUGGCCAACAUGGUGAAACCCCAUCUCUACUAAAAAUACAAAAACUAGCUGGGCGUGGUGGCGCACGCCUGUAUUCCCAGCUACUCAGGAGGCUGAGGCAGGAGAAUCACUUGAACCCAGGAGGCAGAGGUUGCAGUGAGCCGAGAUCACGCCACCGCACUCCAGCCUGGCAACAGAGUGAGACUCCAUCUCUAAAUAAAUAAACAAACAAAAUAAAACAAUGCAUUUUAAAAAUGGACCAAAGACCUUAACAACACCUCACCAAAGAAGAUAUACAGAUGGCAUAUAAGCAUAUGAAAAGAUGCUGCACAUCAUAUGUUAUCAGAGAAAUGCAAAUUUAAACAACGAUUAGAUACUACUACGCAUUUAUCAGAAUGGCCAAAAUCCAGACAACAAAUGCUGACAAGGAUGUGGAGCAACAGGAACUUUCAUUCAUUGCUGGUAGGAAUGCAAAAUUGAUGGUAGAGCCAUUUUGGAGAACAGUUUGGCAUUUUCUUACAAAACUAAACAUACUCUUACCAUGUGAUUCAGCAAUCACAGUCCUUGAUAUUUUCACAAACGAGUUGAAAACUUAAGUCCACACAACAACCUCCACACACAGGUUUACAGCAGCUUUAUUCAUAAUUGCCAAAACUUGGAAGCAAUCAAGAUGUCCUUCAGUAGGUAAAUAAAUGAAUAUACUGUGGUACAUCCAAACAAUGAAAUAUUAUUCACUGCCAAAAGGAAAUGAGCUAUCAGGCCGCAUGUGGUGGCCCACGCCUAUAAUCCCAAUACUUUGGGAAGCUGAGGUGGGAGGAUUGCAUGCGAGCCCCCAGGAGUUUGAGACCAGCCUGGACAACAUAAUGAGACCUCAUCUCUACCAAAAAAAAAAAAAAAAAAAGGCCGGGCGCAGUGGCUCACGCCUGUAAUCCCAGCACUUUGGGAGGCCAAGGCGGGCGGAUCACGAGGUCAGGAGAUCGAGACAAUCCUGGCUAACACGGUGAAACCCCGUCUCUACUAAAAAUUAAAAUUUUAAAAAAAUUAGCUGGGCAUGGUGGCGGGCACCUGUAGUCCCAGCUACUCAGGAGGCUGAGGCAGGAGAAUGGUGUGAACCCAGGAGGCAGAGCUUUCAGUGAGCCGAGAUCGCGCCACUGCACUCCAGCCUGGGCAACAGAGCGAGACUCUGUCUCAAAAAAAAAAACAAAAACAAAAACAAAAAUUAGCCAGGUAUGGUUGUGUACCUGUGGUUCCAGCUGUUUAGGAGGUGGAGACGGGAGGAUCAGUUGACCCUGGGAGGUUAAGGCUGCAGUGAGGCAGUGAGCUUUGAAGGGAACCUUGAGAUGGAUUUUUUUUUUGAGACGGAGUCUUGCUCUGCUGCCCAGGCUGAGUCCAGUUGUGUGAUCUUGGCUAACUACAACCUCCACCUCCUGGGUUCAAGCGAUUCUCCUGCCUCAGCCUACUGAGUAGCUGGGAUUACAGGUGCACGCUAUCAUGCCCAGCUAGUUGUUGUGUUUUUUUUUGUAUUUUUAGUAGAGACGGGAUUUCACCAUGUUGGCCAGGCUGGUCUCGACUCCUGACCUCAAGUGAUCCACCCGCCUCAGCCUCCUAAAGUGCUGGGAUUACAGGCGUGAGCCACUGUACCCAGCCGAGAUGGACAUUUUUAAAUGAAUAUUUUUAUGUGUAAACAUUUUAAAUGAAUCUUAAAUACAAGUUGGAGACUGUUCUAAUUCCUGAAAGCAGCUGAGUCUAUGGCAGCCAUCAUGAAGCUACCCACUGGAAAAGAGGAACUUGACAUGGUGUUACUGAGGAUGGCUAGUGAAAAUCACUAAAAAUGCUUACAUUUAUGUAGGAUGAGACACCCCAAUAAAUCUGUUGCAACUGCAUUCCCUUCCAGUCUUUUUUCUAUGCGUCUUUUUAUUUGAUUGAUUGAUUGAUUGAGACGGGGUCUCCCUCUGUUACCCAGGGUGGAAUGCAGUGGCACAAUCUCGGCUCACUGCAACCUCCACCUCCCAGGCUCCUGAGUAGCUGGGACUACAGGUGCACACCACCAUGCCAGGCUAAUUUUUGUAUUUUUGUAGAGAUGGGGUUUUGCCAUGUUGCCCAGGCUGGUCUCAAACUCCUGGACUCAAGUG